GGCCAGCCCUGACUGUGACAGGGGGAUGGGUGGGACAUGCAGAUUUUACACGCAAAGGCCCAUGUCCUACCCUUAUUAGCUGGCUCAGCUCCCAGUGGUGUCAGUACAUUGGAGACUGAUGGCAGUUUAUGGGGUAAACUUUAUCAGGAGAACACAUAACUAUUGUAACAAAAUGCCUUUGUGGAGCAAUCCCUCUAGGCUAGAUCCCAGUCACCUCUUUCUAGAACUCCCCCUCCUCAUCUGGGAGCUCUAGGAUCUCUCAACUGGCUAUUGAAAUGUAUCAAAUCAAUGUGAUAUGUGAAAUGCCCUGUCGGAGGGUUCCAGAGAGGGCUCCUCUCACUGCCCUGAGAGAUCCCCAGGGACCAGUGAGGCUAGUGCAUCUGCAGCUUGUAGUUUAACUCUAUCUCCACUGUGACUAUUCUCUUAAUUACUUCACAUCUUCACGUCAGAUGCCCCUGCACUGCCUGGAGAUUUCCCAGGGGAUGGUUAUGAUGAUGCCAGAGAAGUGUCUGUCCCUGAAGGUGACCCUGCUUCAGGGCAGAAUGAUGAGCAAGGCACUGGGGCGAGUGACAGACACAGGGAUUCAUAGACAGGUGGGAGUCUGCACUGGCUAAGGAGUGAAGUUGUCUCUGGGAUGGACAGAGAAACCCCAUUCCCACUUCCUGGAGACACAGGUUAUGAUGAUGUGGAACAUGGUGACUCUGGGGGAUCAAUAUCAGAACAAUUGAUUGGGAAAAAAAUAACCUUGUGAUGAUAUAAAUGCUUUGCCUUUUUCUCUCAGAACUGCUCCCUCCACUAUGAUGCCUAGAGACAGUCCCUGCCUGGUAGACAGACAAAGCAGGUGUUUUUAUAAGAUUUGUGUGAAGUUGCAGGAAAUACUAGUGGGAGUUGGAAAAGGUUCAUAAACUUUCUUUGUGUAAUUUUCCACCAUUUGAAGGGGGGUUGAAUUUUCCUGCUUUUUUAUGCCUAUAAUUUCUUCAUCUUGAAUUUUGCCUUUUUCAUAUUAAAUCCUUUCUGAAAGUCUUCCCCAUAGUGGAAGUUUUUCUUGCCAGAUGAAUUGUGCAGUUUCCAGGGUUCAUCACAGGGAGGGGCUGAGAUACAAAAGAAAGAGACAAGGGCGGGCCACCUCUGGGUAUAGCAGGCUGUUUGACGGUGGGGGGGGGUUACACUGAAUGUUCUAUCAGGCAUGUGGUAAAAGUGAGACACCAGCAAGAGAACAUUCUGAGAUGAGCAACAAGGUUGUUCCUAAACCUAAUUCAGAUUUGUAACCUUCAUUGAAUCCAAGGAGAUAAAUGAGAAAUUCUCCCUCAUAAUUCACACCUGAAAUUAAACAAAGAGUGAAAAGAAUUCCCCAUUAGCAAUAAAUGUGGAGGAUGAAUAUUUCUGCUAGGACAAUAAAUGAAUUUUAUAGAAAAUAAUAAAAACCAAACUGCUUUAAAACCAACUUUUAAAAUCCAUUUUAGUUUGAAAACGCACCAAACCAAAUAGUUUGCAGCCAUAUACUUUUUGAAAAAAACCACACCUAUGUUUUACACACACACACACACACACACACACACACACACACACUAGCAGUUUAAAACACCAAACCAACAGUUUGCAACAAAAUACUUUUUUAAACACCCACACUUAUAUCUAGCUUAGGCCCCUGAAUCACUAACAAUUUAAACAUUAAAGCCAACUCUUAAGAAGACAAACAACCCCUUUUUAAUUUUU
This is a long non-coding RNA of Chelonia mydas (Green sea turtle), 1716 nucleotides long. RefSeq lists it as uncharacterized. The transcript is spliced from 2 exons. Lineage: Eukaryota; Metazoa; Chordata; Testudines; Cheloniidae. The record is from RefSeq and is a predicted model, not a curated record.